Molecule: transfer RNA, 73 nt
Filed under: Planctomyces sp.
Lineage: Bacteria; Pseudomonadati; Planctomycetota; Planctomycetia; Planctomycetales; Planctomycetaceae
Also listed under: 1 other name
Description: tRNA-Met
Rfam family: tRNA
About the family: Transfer RNA (tRNA) molecules are approximately 80 nucleotides in length. Their secondary structure includes four short double-helical elements and three loops (D, anti-codon, and T loops).
Source: RNAcentral
GGCCCUGUAGCUCAACGGUUAGAGCAGGCGACUCAUAAUCGCUUGGUUCCCGGUUCGAGUCCGGGCGGGGCCA